RNAcentral lists this small RNA (831 nucleotides) under Ganoderma multipileum. RNAcentral describes it as "eukaryotic LSU rRNA". The stretch from base 273 to 426 matches the Rfam family "5.8S ribosomal RNA". The record is from RNAcentral. Lineage: Eukaryota; Fungi; Basidiomycota; Agaricomycetes; Polyporales; Polyporaceae.
CUCUUGGUCAUUUAGAGGAAGUAAAAGUCGUAACAAGGUUUCCGUAGGUGAACCUGCGGAAGGAUCAUUAUCGAGUUUUGACUGGGUUGUAGCUGGCCUUCCGAGGCAUGUGCACGCCCUGCUCAUCCACUCUACACCUGUGCACUUACUGUGGGCAUUAGAUCGUGAAGCGGGCUCUUUUACCGGAGCCUGUGAAGCGUAUCUGUGCCUACGUUUAUCACAAACUCCAUAAAGUAUCAGAAUGUGUAUCACGAUGUAACGCAUCUAUAUACAACUUUCAGCAACGGAUCUCUUGGCUCUCGCAUCGAUGAAGAACGCAGCGAAAUGCGAUAAGUAAUGUGAAUUGCAGAAUUCAGUGAAUCAUCGAAUCUUUGAACGCACCUUGCGCUCCUUGGUAUUCCGAGGAGCAUGCCUGUUUGAGUGUCAUGAAAUCUUCAACCUACAAGCUUUUGCGGCCUGCAGGCUUGGACUUGGAGGCUUGUCGGCCUUUAUUUGGUCGGCUCCUCUUAAACGCAUUAGCUUGGUUCCUUGCGGAUCGGCUCUCGGUGUGAUAAUAUCUACGCCGCGACCGUGAAGCGUUUGGCGAGCUUCUAAACGUCUCUCUUGAGAGACAACUUUUAUGACCUCUGACCUCAAAUCAGGUAGGACUACCCGCUGAACUUAAGCAUAUCAAUAAGCGGAGGAAAAGAAACUAACAAGGAUUCCCCUAGUAACUGCGAGUGAAGCGGGAAAAGCUCAAAUUUAAAAUCUGGCGGUCUCUGGCCGUCCGAGUUGUAGUCUGGAGAAGUGCUUUCCGCGCUGGACCGUGUACAAGUCUCCUGAGUAUUGGGA